AGCGAUCUUCUUCGGAAGAGAGCGGCGGACGGGUGAGUAACGCGUGGGUAACCUGCCUCAUGCACAUGGAUAACAUACCGAAAGGUAUGCUAAUACAAGAUGGUAUAAGAGAUUCGCAUGGAUUUCUUAUCAAAGCUCCGGCGGUACAGGAUGGACCCGCGUCUGAUUAGCUAGUUGGUGAGGUAACGGCUCACCAAGGCGACGAUCAGUAGCCGGCCUGAGAGGGCGACCGGCCACAUUGGGACUGAGACACGGCCCAAACUCC
Molecule: ribosomal RNA, 265 nt
Filed under: uncultured Peptostreptococcaceae bacterium
Lineage: Bacteria; Bacillati; Bacillota; Clostridia; Peptostreptococcales; Peptostreptococcaceae
Description: partial 16S ribosomal RNA
Rfam family: Bacterial small subunit ribosomal RNA
Source: RNAcentral